GAGGGAGGAGAGCAGAGAGCGGGAGGAGAGCGGAUAGCGGGAGGAGAGCCAAGAGCAGAGAGAGGUAGGAGAGCAGAAAUCGGGAGGGGAGUGGAGAGAGGGAGGAGAGUGUAGAGCGGGAGGAGAGUGGAGAGAGGGAGGAGAGCGGAGAGAAAAGGAAUGAGGCGGUCGGCUGAUUCACCACCACCCCAUCCAUCCAUCCCUCCUUUCUCUUUAUUGUCUUCUGCUUCAGUGAUGGGGUGGUGGAGGUGUUUGGGAAAGGACCCCCCCCUCCACACACACACACAGACUGCUGAUCUUCAUCCCUUCCACCUGCCUCCAUCCCUCCUCUUUCUCCCAUUGUCAUCACUACCUCCACCUGUAUCUUAUUCCCUCUCACUCCAUCCCUCCAUCCAUCCAUCCUUAUUUUUUUCUCUCCAGCCCCCACGCCCUUCUAACCCACACACUCUGUGUCACCACCGUGGUGAAGAAAAUGAUCAGCCAACAAGCUGGAAGAGGUAGAGGAGAGGAAAAACAGUGGAGAAAGAGAGGAAGAGUGAGCUCUGUCCAUUCAAGACACUCCAGACGUUCCAAUUUCCUGGAUGGAAUAUCCAGAGCCCCACGGACGGAGGGAGGAGUGGAGGAGAAAAGAAAAAGACCAAUAGAGAAGAGAGAAGAAAGGAAUUGCACUCCGGACAGCCAGUCCGCGUGACGGCCCUGCAGGCUGUGUUUGGGACUCUGGCUAAUUGUGGAGUAUUCUCAGGACUCCAGCAGAGGAACGAGAGAGACCCGCUCUAUCUUUCUUUUCAUUCUAAUUAAUUCCCCUCUGUGCAGACACUCAAAGAGAUUUUCUCUCCUUCCUUCGCUCUCUCCCUCCUUCUCUCCAUCCGGCGACUUGAGAGCAGAAUAAUUGGGAGUGGAGAUUGGCUUUUCUGUGCCUCUGCCAGAGGAGUGAGAUCUCCCAAUCCUUCACACACCUGGUUGUGUGCGAGUGUGUGCGUGGAUGAGUGUGUGUGGAAUCUCUGACUUAUCUCUAGGGGCUUUGGGAGGGGGUGUACCACACUAGUGUGAACUGGACGUGCAUGACAGAAAAAUGAGAAAAGGAAAGAGGGAGUGAAAGAAAAAGGUAGUACAGUAGAGCACUAAUCCGGUAGAAGUAUUUCCCUGAGGAGGGGUGUGAGGGGAGAAAAGAAGGAAAGUACUGCUUUCACUUGAAGCCCAACCAGUGAUGUGGAUGGACAGAGUGAGCAAAUAAAUGACAAGACAGAGAAGAGGAGAGAAGAGACGAGGAGAAAAGACAUCGGCCUUUUCACAACAUCAGCAAGUCACCCAGACUGAGAAGAAUGCACCAGACAGAACCGGAGUGUUUUAGUGUGAGUGUGUGUACGGCGUAACCAACCCAUUCUGCAGUGGAGCCGCGGAGCACAGGGGGAGCCUGAGUUAUUACAUGUCUUAGUCAGACCAUGCCCCAGUUCACCUUCGCCUGUUUUUGCAGUCUGCACGGCUUCUGCCGGAGACGGAGGAAGAAGAAACGGCAGAAAAGGGAGGAACAGGAUGAGAUGCAGGAGAAAUGGAGGGAUCAGGAGACUGAGGUGUGAAGGAAGCCUGGAGGGACUUCACCCUCCUCUUCAUUCCCUCAGAGACUCUGGUGUGGUCACGAUUGUGACGGCAUUCUAAUUUCUACAUCCAGAUCCUUUUCUAGUCUUCACGCUGCGGUGCGUCUCUCCUCCACCUGCAGCAGCUGUCCAAUCAGCAGCUUCACUGGAGUGUAUAGGUAGAGGUCAGAACUCAAAACUAACGUUCUUUACAAUCUCCUACACCACGGAGACACAACACACACACACACACACACACACACACACACACACACACACACACACACACACACAAAUUAAAGUCCUGUGUAGUUCUAUAAAUGCCAGUGGGGUGUAGGGACACCUAUCACCUGGUUAUGAUGAAAGUAGUGAAUGUGAUUGUGUGUGCACUGAGACUUCAUUGCAGCUGGACCACAGAGAGUUGCAGGACUGCACCUACCAGUUAAGAUAUGCUGCAGAAUGAAUGCCCUUUACACGCACACGCGCACACGCACGCAAGCACACAUGCACGCAAACACACACACACGCAGGUCUCAUUAGCCUGUGUAAUUAUGCAUGGCACGUCCAGUUGGCCAGUGGAGAAGUAAUUAACCUUUUCCAGCAGGAAACAGCAAUCUGGACGUCUGACACACUCACAUGCACGCACACACGUCUGGUGUCACGGAAAUAAAGUGUCAAAGACAGCGGCUGGCAUUCAAUGAUAAUCCCCUCACGCAUAUUUCCAUCCAAGGCUUAAAACACUAAUAAUGCCAAAUUACCUCUCCUCUCCCUUUAUCUUCCCUCCUUUCUCUUUCUCCCUCUUCUUGUCCCCAAGUCCUUCUCUGUCUUUCUCUCUGUUUAACUCUCCCUGUCUGUCUGUGUCUGGCUACAAAACCUCUUUCUCUCUCCUGUCUGUCUGUCUGUCUGUCUGUCUGUCUGUCUGUCUGUCUGUCUGUCUGUCUGUCUGUCUGUCUGUCUGUCUGUCUGUCUGUCUGUCUGUCUGUCUGUCUGUCUGUCUGUCUGUCUGUCUGUCUGUCUGUCUGUCUGUCUGUCUGUCUGUCUGUCUGUCUGUCUGUCUGUCUGUCUGUCUGUCUGUCUGUCUGUCUGUCUGUGGCUACGAAACCUCUUUUCUCCACCACUCUCCCUGUCUCCCUCUCCUUUCUCCCCUCUCUCAAUCAAUUUGCCCACAUCCCUCUCUCUCCUGCUCUUUAUCUCUCAGUAAAACACAUGUUCUCUGGGCAGUGAGCAUGGCCUUGCCUGGCUGGCAGCACCCAUAGAUUAACACCAGCACUCUGACUCUCACUCAGGGAGCCCUCUCACCAAGACCACAAAAGCUGCUUUACAGUUGAAGGAGUAGGAUGCCUGUGUGUGUGUGUGUGUGUGUGUGUGUGUGUGUGUGUGUGUGUGUGUGUGUGUGUGUGUGUGUGUGUUUAUAAGAACAGAUUAAGCGAUAGGGUUGAUUGUGUAUUUACCCAUUCUACCAUUGAGCAAAAGUGAAAUGGGAUAACACUAAGCCAUUUCACAGAGAUGAGCAGAUAUGAGUCACCAUGUUACAGAAAGGCUUUUCAACGAGAAAGAGAGGGAGAGAGAAAAAGAGGGGGAGAGGGGGAGAGAGAGAACAGUUAAUGAGAGAGGGAUGGAAAUGGAAGAGGGAGCUAAUACUCGGCAGUCAUGCUAAUUGGCUACAUUUGCUAACUCUCUGAGGCGAGAGGAUUCCGGCAUUACACUCGUUUAAUGCUCCCUCCAUCACGUUAAAGAAAGGAUUCGCUUGAAUAAUGAAGAGGAGCUGAAAUGAAUAACAGUUUGUUAUUAUCUGUGGGAGGGUUGUUUUUCACCUGAGUGACUAUGUGUAGUCUUCUAUGGAUCAUAUCCAUGCUCACCGAGCCUUACUCAAGGACAAACAGCUAAAAAUAGAGGGGAGUACGCGACUACUAUAAUAGCAGGAGCGAAGGAAGGAAGGGAGAGGGAGAGAGAACGAGUGCUGUCAGAUUAGAUUCGGGUCAGAAAAGAUGGGAAGAGCAAGUGAGGCAGAGGGUGUUUCAUACGGAGGAGAUUAAUCACACUCUCUCCCUCUCUUUCUUCCUUUGUCUCUCUCUCUCGCAUUCUCUUUGUCCCUCUCUCUCGCUCUCUCUCUACUCAAUACCUCACUAUCGCACACCUGCAAGAUGGGGAGGGAAGUGGGGAGGAAGAGAGACAAAUAAACUGAAAUAUAGCGGGGUAAGGAGAAAGAAGAAACCCUCCAUUUCACUCCUCAUCACCUUCUCCUCUCUCCUCGUCUCCUCAUUGCCCUCUCAUCUCUUCCCUAAUGCAGAUUAAAGUGAGCCAUGUACUCUAAUGCUCUAAUUGGGCCUAGGAGAUGGGAACCAAUAGAGAUUGAUAGAGGUGGAUAGAGAUAGUGAUAAAAGAGGAGGGGUGAGAAAGAGAGAGGGAGAGACAGGGGUUGAGGGUUAAGACAAGUGAGAAGCUUUAGUGAUUGAGAGACAGAGAGGGUGAGCAAUACAUUGAGAGAGAGAGAGAGAGAGAGCUUGUGUAAUUGUGAUGGUAAUAGGUUUUGUCAGGAGCACCUGUCAGGGUCGAGCUGGAGCCGCUCCGGAGCGACGAGGAGAUGGAGGAGAGGAAAGGAACAGGGUAUUGGAGUCAGGAUCACUCUGAGGAAAGUCCAAUCCAUGAUAGCGUUACCUGAUUGCCAAUUUGUGUCUGUCUUCAGACAUCACACACACACACAUGCACUGUAGUGGAAUGAUGGAGUUGAUUGGACAGGCUCUUGGUGCCUAACGAGGGGUCCAGGGCAAUCACAGACCAGUUGCUUUGUGACUGGAGGAGAAUGAAGGCCGCUACAGCUUGUAUUCUCAUAAUUUCUCGAUGAAAAGGGAGCGCUACACUGAUUGUCUUCCCCCCUACUGUGCAUGCAGUUGAGUUGUGUUUGAAUCGGGCGUGCUGUUCAGAAAUGUUUACUGGAACAGAGAACUUUGAUCAAACUUCUGUGAUUGAGGCUGGAAUCCUAGGGACUCAUCUUUUUCUCUGUCUUUCUUCCUCUCUCACUCUUUUUCUCUUCACUCAAUCUCUUGUUUGUCCUGCAUCUCUUUUUCUCUCCUUGCACGCACACACGCACACAUCGAUUGGAGAGUCGAUAUUGAGCAGUGGCUCUCGUCUAAAUUAAUAUUUGAUUUCUCUGGGGGUUUCAGACUGGAACCCACGGCAUUGAGUUACAGUCUAAACGUUACAGUCUGAGGGAUUGCUCUAAACGUUGUUUGAUUAAGUUUGUGUGUGUGUACGUGUGUGUGUAUGCGUGCCUGCCUGCAAUACAACCCCCUACACACACAUGCAUGCACACACUCACACACACACACACACACACACACACACACACACACACACAUCACUUGUCUAGAAUGCAUCACUCACUGCUAAGCCUCUGCCAUUAAAGCUGUUCAUUUAUCCGACACACAUGGUGACUUAUGUUUGAUUGAUGUGAGCACUAGGCCCAGAACUGUCUCUCAAACACUAGGCCCAGAACUGUCUCUCAAACACUAGGCCCAGAACUGUCUCUCAAACACUAGGCCCAGAACUGUCUCUCAAACACUAGGCCCAGAACUGUCUCUCAAACACUAGGCCCAGAACUGUCUCUCAAACACUAGGACCAGAACUGUGUCUCUCAAACACUAGGCCCAGAACUGUGUCUCUCAAACACUAGGCCCAGAACUGUGUCUCUCAAAUACUAGGCCCAGAAGUGUGUCUCUCAAACACUAGACCCAGAACUGUGUCUCUCAAACACUAGGCCCAGAACUGUGUCUCUCAAACAGAGUCCCCAGUUCUCUGCAGCGAUAUGGUGAAACCAAAUGCUUGCCUUGUGUACUGUAGCAUCAUUCUUGCUUCAAAAUCCAAUAGUGCUAUUUGUGUACAGUAUAUGGGUGUAUUCUAGGGUUUAGGGUGGGAAGAAAAUCCUUAGUACUGCAGUCAUCCAUUGUAAUGUAAGGAUGAGAGACCCUGGUAUUGUGCUAUAACUCCAAACACAAACACAAGGUAUGUUUCUCUCUGUCAGUGUGUUUGUUUACUUUGUUCUGUUGUUUGUGAGAUCUGAUUGGUAUCAGCGCAGCAGUGUGUGUGUGUGUGUGUGAGAGAGAGUGUGAGAGAGUGUGUGUGUGUGUGAGAUUGAGAGUGAGAGUGAGAGAGAGAGAGAGAGAGAGAGAGAGAGAGAGAGAGAGAGAGAGAGCACGCUGGGGUAAUCUGCUUCUGCAAGAGUUUGUUACAUUAUUCAUCUUCCUGGGGCUCUGCGGCAGGGAGGGAGCAGCGGAGAGGGGUGGAGGAAUAGAGGAAGAGAGAGAAAUGGGGAGAGAGAAACAGAGAGGGUAAAGGACUCAGAUAGAGCAGCCAAACAUCUACGCACUGAGAGAUACAGUAUCAGAUACAUUACUCCCAGAUUGAAGCGGGUUAUUCAUGAACUUUACAGCCACAGUAAAACAGUCUUCUAAAACCCAACUUAAAAAAUACCGAAGUGACCUUCAUGGGAGGGAUCUCAGAUAUUUGUGACUCCAGAGUAUGUUGUUCAGAGCAGACAUCUGUUCUAAACAGACAGGUACUAGUUAACCUGAGCCUUGUAUUAAAUGUCCACCCCAAGGCCUGGGGCGAGGUAAAGAGAAGAGACAGUGUGAGGAAAGGGCUGGGUAUCGAUCCUUAGAGACAGACUUUGGCCUUCGGAUCAGACAAUAUUGACAGGCUAUCACCCACACACCCAGCGAAGUCUGACACUGUCGGACACCCAUCAUUAACACACACACGUGCAUGCAUACCCAUACGCCGGAGGGAGGCUUGAGUGUGUGUGAGGCGGAGGGCUGUGUGCUUGGGAUGCGGAGCACGUCCGAGGUCUGUGAAGUUCUCCUUGCAGCAAAGCCUCAUUAAAGAGGCUCGCCUUAACACAGCUAUCUACAGCCAGACCAGACCUGACCACACACACAGAGAGGGAAGGAGAUAGAGAGAGAGCGAGAGAGAGUGAAAGAGACACUGAGGAACACAAGCACGCACACAAACACCUGAAAUACUAUAUAAAUCUUUCUCAGGACACUGGUUUUACACAGUGUUUGAGUGGGAGCGAAUGGGUUUGUUAGAAGAAGAAGAAUGUUCGCUGCCAUGGUGAUUUAAUCAGACACACAAAAAAAGACCUGACGAAGAUCCAACUCGGCUCGAAACCCUGUUCUUUUUUUGCGUCAGAUUAAAUUACCCUGGGAGCACACCAAAGUUGCAGACAUUCUUUUUUCUUUGAUCUGUCCUGCACCUGAUAAGUUGUAUGUGCAUAUUUGUCUAUUUUUUAUUUUAUUAUAUUUUUACAAUGGGAUUGUUCUCAUCAGGGAGGGUGGGAUUUGACCCCUCCCUCUACAUCCACAGUGUUUAAACUAUGUUCUCCCAAAACAAUUCCCCUCCUACAGUAAUAUGAUAUUCAUGUAUAUUUGAUUGUGUCACCUCUGUGGAGAUUGCCUAUGGUGUGUCUGUGUGCCUUUUAAAUCUGUGUUUAUGAAUAAGUAAUAGAUUGCUAUGCACUCUGAUUAUUAAAGAAGCCAUAUUGCCAGGAAGCCAUGAUGAAAUUAUAUUGUAAUUCCUGCAUCUCCGAUGAAUACAUUUAUAUUUUUCUUUCUUGCAAUUUCUUUCCUGUUUCUGUUCCGGUAAAUGAGCGCUAAAGCUCUCUUGUUUUGCGCUGAGACUCCCUGACGUUUACAUUUGUAUGGUUUUCACAACUGCGCUGAGAUUUUUUUAAUAAAACUGUCCUGUUUCUAAAUA
Molecule: long non-coding RNA, 7325 nt
Filed under: Salmo salar (Atlantic salmon)
Lineage: Eukaryota; Metazoa; Chordata; Actinopteri; Salmoniformes; Salmonidae
Description: lncRNA (ENSSSAG00000108008.1)
Source: RNAcentral